UGUAAUAAUCUAAACGCUAAUAUAAAUUAAUGUUACGAUAUAUGGCCGCAUCCACGGUGUUCUGCCUUUACCAGCUUAUCAUUGAAGAGUGCUUACACAGGAUUAUUUUCAAGAACUCUGCACGUUCAUGAUUAAGAAGCGGAAAAAUAUUAAAAUAAUCCGCCGUCAAAGAGGGCCUCCACGUCCUGCCAGCGACUGACGGCUCGUUUAUAUCUGUGCUGGGCUUGUGGGAGGAGAUGGACCGUCAUCUGCAGAAUGUAGAUAAUCCAAGAACAAAUGAAAGCUGUUUGGAAAAACAGAACAAAACACUGAGAAACCGAAUGACUCAAAGGCUGCAAGUCUAACGUUUACAGGUCAUUCAUUCGCUAAUAAGGUCGGGGCAUUAGGCUAAGUAAUGUGGACAUUACUGGAUGAGUGGGAUGAAGUUUUCCAGCUGAAAAAUUCCGUGUAUCUGAAAACACUAAAGCGUUGGAAAAGAAAUCUUUAAGUAAUGGAAUUUCUUAAAUAAUGAUAAGGAAAUGCGACCGACGUCAUUUCGUUACGUUAUGCAGCGUCAUUCUCUUCAGCUGCUCUAAUAAUUAAAAUAAAUCACAUUUUAGAGUUGGUCCGGCGUUCAAACCGCCCCCUUUUGCCCCGCUUCUUCUUUUUACCUAACUAAGGUUCUCCAUGACACUAGCAAUUAAAAAGUACUACUCAAAAAUCACAUAAAAUCAAGUCCGAUAACUUGGACAAGCCAAUUUUGCAAUGUUGUAAAAUGAAAAAAAAAGAUGAAAGAUCACUCAGCAACGUGCGGUUCCGCUGAAAGGGAAGCUUGAUGAAGAAUCCAUGGGCUGAGCGCAGACCUUCGCUGCGCACAUGGGCGUCCGUGACUGACACCUGCGGCCACAUCAUGUCCCAUAUGGAAUGAGUAGAGGACAAAAAAGAGAGUCGGUGUUCCUGUGGAUUGCUGUCAUGGUGGAUAUAGCAGGACUGGCACUGCUGAGCCCGGGGACCAAGCUGAGCAGCAAACAUGAAACCGGCAGCUUUUUGUGGCUCCUUUUCCUCCCCCAUCCCGCGCCUCUGACUGACCCCCUUCAGGAGGGGGCCGGUGCUCAGGUUUGGAGAUGUCAGGAUUCCACAGUGACGCAGCGCCGGUGAACUUCCCUUGAAUUGAGGCCCGGCUCUCACGGUCUUCCACGGGUUCGAGGUGUUUCAUGCCGGCUGAGAUCCAAGGCGGCGGAGACCAACUCCGGAAAUGAAAGAUUUAGGUCGAGUCACUUUGUAUAUUAAAUGCGCUAUAACCAGCAUACGGUUACCAUGAGUGAUGAUUGGGAUUAUAGUGUGAAUUACCAGUGCAUGUUUCACAUCAUUACUGCCGAUGGGAUUUUGUCGCAUGAUGGGUCGCACGAGUGGCAGUGGGGUCGCAGAUAUUUGGUUGUAUGGAGCAGAACAUGAGUAAGGAGUUGCAUGUCAUGAGGCUGGGGGCCGGGGGGGGUGGAGUGUUGGUCAGGGUCUCUGUACUUUCUCGUCCUGGAUAGAGUCCCGUUGUGUUACUGACACCCAUGAAGAUCCAUCUAUGUCCAACGUAUAAAACACCUCUGACUGUUAGAUGCAUUUAAAUGUAUUGUCAUCCUUUUACCUCCCUUAGGCCAAGUUAAGUCUGUAAUUUUACUAACUCUUCAAAAGAGGUUUUUAGUAAAGUCAGUCUUUAUUUAUUUAUUUUUUAAUGCUUAUCGUAAGCAUCUUUGCUUUAACUGUUAACUGUAUGUAACAGUUUAGUUUUAGUUAUGAAGUUUUUACAAUUUUGGUGAAUCGGUCUGUUUUAAUACUGUCAUACUCUCAGCCUGAGUACAGCUGUCUGUUUUAAUACUGUCAUACUCUCAGCCUGAGUACAGCUGUCUGUUUUAAUACUGUCAUACUCUCAGCCUGAGUAUAGCUCCAGGUUGCUGGCACACUGCUAAGAGGCAAAAUAAGUAAGAGAGGGUGUCACCGAGGGAGGAGAGUCACACAGCCCCCCAGGGUAAGAAACACCCCCCUUCUGCCUUUUUAUGGAAAGCGUGGUGACAUCAGUAUGCAGAAAGCACAGCCCCUGAGGACCCCACCCCCGACCCACGAGCGAUGAUGCAGGGGAAGCUCCAUGUUGCUUUAAUAGUGGGCGUGGCCAACACCAUCGAGAUACAAGUUGGAGCAGCUCUUGGGAGGUUCUUUGAUGAAUAGGCCCCAGCCUGCCCUCUCCUUACCCUGUGACAUAGUUGGCCCUGGGCCAGGCUCGAUCGGGGGAGUGUCCUGAAUUCCAGCCCACCGCGUCCCUUGCCGGACCGGAACCUCCUUGCUCCCAGGCUGGGUCACCCCUGAUUGACUGCGACCUUUGCUGCGUGUGUCCACGACCUUCAGGCACGGCUGGCUGCCCUUGUCACAUGACACCUUACUGGGGCUCCCCAGACUCCUAAAUUCACCUGGUUACCUUAGUAUUUACUACUAAUGCAUCUGGUCCUUGGGGUAUUUAGGGUGUGUUUUAAUUGGCUCCCUACUGACCCCUGACACCCCAGGUCAUGUGAAUCUGAACAAAUCCCAGGCUGUGAUGAAGCAAAACUUACAAUGGCCCCCACUGAGACGUCUGCCCCCACUGCAGCUCAUAUAACAGCUGGCUGUCAUUCUGAGGCCUGCGUAUAAGGUUCCUUAAGUAUUACGCCACCUGCUGUCCAAGUGAUGCAAAAAAAGUGCCUUAUUUUUGACAACACACUCGUAAUAUACACAGAUAAUAAAUGUAAACUGCUACAA
This is a long non-coding RNA of Paramormyrops kingsleyae, 2760 nucleotides long. RefSeq lists it as uncharacterized. NCBI's taxonomy places the organism in Eukaryota, Metazoa, Chordata, Actinopteri, Osteoglossiformes, Mormyridae. The record is from RefSeq and is a predicted model, not a curated record.